This 1232-nucleotide ribosomal RNA is filed under the name metagenome. RNAcentral's name for it is "bacterial LSU rRNA". It matches the Rfam family "Bacterial large subunit ribosomal RNA", at positions 1599 to 2821 of the family's 2925-position model. The record is from RNAcentral.
ACCAAGCUUCCAGGAAAAGCCACUAAGCUUCAGUCUAGAGUUGACCGUACCGCAAACCGACACAGGUGGGCAGGAUGAAAAUUCUAAGGCGCUUGAGAGAACUCAGGAGAAGGAACUCGGCAAAUUAACACCGUAACUUCGGGAGAAGGUGUGCCCCGGUAGCGUGUAGAGACUUGCUCUCGAAGCGCGAUGGGGUUGCAGUGAAAUGGUGGCUGCGACUGUUUAAUAAAAACACAGCACUCUGCAAACACGAAAGUGGACGUAUAGGGUGUGACGCCUGCCCGGUGCCGGAAGGUUAAGUGAUGGGGUGCAAGCUCUUGAUCGAAGCCCCGGUAAACGGCGGCCGUAACAAUAACGGUCCUAAGGUAGCGAAAUUCCUUGUCGGGUAAGUUCCGACCUGCACGAAUGGCGUAACGAUGGCCACACUGUCUCCUCCUGGGACUCAGCGAAGUUGAAAUGUUUGUGAAGAUGCAAUCUACCCGCGGCUAGACGGAAAGACCCCAUGAACCUUUACUGUAGCUUUGCAUUGGACUUUGAACCGGUUUGUGUAGGAUAGGUGGGAGACUGUGAAGCCGGGACGCUAGUUUCGGUGGAGUCAACCUUGAAAUACCACCCUGAUUUGUUUGAGGUUCUAACCUUGGUCCGUGAAUCCGGAUCGGGGACCGUGCAUGGUAGGCAGUUUGACUGGGGCGGUCUCCUCCCAAAAGGUAACGGAGGAGUACGAAGGUACGCUUAGGGCGGUCGGACAUCGCCCACAAAGUGCAAUGGCAAAAGCGUGCUUGACUGCGAGACCCUCAAGUCGAGCAGGUACGAAAGUAGGUCAUAGUGAUCCGGUGGUUCUGUAUGGAAGGGCCAUCGCUCAACGGAUAAAAGGUACUCUGGGGAUAACAGGCUAAUUCCUCCCAAGAGUUCAUAUCGACGGGGGAGUUUGGCACCUCGAUGUCGGCUCAUCACAUCCUGGGGCUGUAGUCGGUCCCAAGGGUAUGGCUGUUCGCCAUUUAAAGUGGUACGCGAGCUGGGUUUAAAACGUCGUGAGACAGUUUGGUCCCUAUCUGCCGUGGGCGCUGGAAAUUUGAAGGGGGCUGCUCCUAGUACGAGAGGACCGGAGUGGACGAACCUCUGGUGUACCGGUUAUGACGCCAGUCGUAUCGCCGGGUAGCUAAGUUCGGAAGAGAUAAACGCUGAAAGCAUCUAAGCGUGAAACUCGCCUUAAGAUAAGAUUUCCCGGAGGC